AAACACCGAGCCCGGUAAAGUGAGGCCAACAGCCGGUACCAAGCCUUGGAGCCGAAGCCGCGAGGUUAGGUUUAAGCGUAGGCAUGGGAGUAAGCGAGCCGCAAUGCGAAAGCGUGAAGCGAUACAGCCCCGUUAGUUUAUGAAGUCGAAGCCGAUGCCGUCCUUUCGGCAGCAGGCAGCAAUCCGCAAACGAAAAGGCAAGAAUGCGGAGGUUCGGCCGGGGUCAGAGAGCG
Thermoanaerobacter sp. X514 is the source of this 233-nucleotide non-coding RNA. The record is from Rfam. Lineage: Bacteria; Bacillati; Bacillota; Clostridia; Thermoanaerobacterales; Thermoanaerobacteraceae.